This 124-nucleotide small RNA is filed under the name Marmota monax (woodchuck). The record is from RNAcentral. Lineage: Eukaryota; Metazoa; Chordata; Mammalia; Rodentia; Sciuridae.
ACUGGGCGCAGUGGCCAUGCCUGUUAUCCCAGCAGCUUGGGAGGCUGAGGCAGGAGGAUCAUGAGUUCAAAGCCAGCCUCAGCAAAAGUGAGGCGCUGAGCAACUCAGUGAGACCCUGUCUCUA